ACGUAGGUGGCAAGCGUUAUCCGGAAUUAUUGGGCGUAAAGCGCACGCAGGUGGCUUCUUAAGUCUGACGUGAAAGCUCCUGGCUUAACCGGGAGAGGUCGUUGGCAACUGGGAGGCUUGAGGCAAGGAGAGGGGCGUAGAAUUCCCGGUGUAGUGGUGGAAUGCGUAGAUAUCGGGGGGAAUACCAGAGGCGCAAGCGGCGCCCUGGCCUUGGCCUGACGCUCAGGUGCGAAAGCGUGGGGAGCGAACGGGAUUAGAUACCCCGGUAGUCCACGCCAUAAACGAUGAAUACUAGGUGUUGGAGGAUUUAAACCCUUCGGUACCGCAGCUAACGCGUUAAGUAUUCCGCCUGGGGAGUACGACCGCAAGGUUA
RNAcentral lists this ribosomal RNA (373 nucleotides) under uncultured bacterium. Its description in RNAcentral is "bacterial SSU rRNA". It matches the Rfam family "Bacterial small subunit ribosomal RNA", at positions 525 to 896 of the family's 1533-position model. The record is from RNAcentral.